Molecule: long non-coding RNA, 10541 nt
Filed under: Brassica rapa (field mustard)
Lineage: Eukaryota; Viridiplantae; Streptophyta; Magnoliopsida; Brassicales; Brassicaceae
Description: long non-coding RNA (BRAP_LNC004306)
Source: RNAcentral
UGAACAAGAAAUUGAUGACAUCCUUCUCAUUGAUCCGCAUAAUCACGAAUACGAAGAUCUUACCGAUGAUGCCACAGACGAAGCUGUAGAAGACGAGUUUAAUGAAAAUGAUGAUAUUUCUAGUGAUGACGAGAAUGUCGAUGUAUCCGAUUGAUGUAUUUGAUUUUGUGUAGUUUGUUUUAUGAAUAAGGUAAUGUGAGAGUUUGUUUUAUGAAUAAGGUAAUGUUGGAGUUUGUUUUAUGAAUAAGAAAUGUGGGAGUUUGUUUUAUAAAUAAGUAAAUGUGGGAAUUGUGGUUUGGAAUGGAAAUAAAGAUGGGGUUUGGAAUAUAUGAAGUAGAAGAUAAGGAAUAUGGGGUUUUGGGUUUGGGGUUUCAGAUUUUAGGGAUUUAAACGUACUACUCGUUAAUUCCUCGUAAGUUGACGUCGAAUGUACGACGUAAUCCUCGUUUAUUCCACGUAGGACAGAAUCGUCGUAAAGGACUCGUUAGCUAACGUGGAAAUAACGACGAAAUUAAAAAAAUAAAGAAAGCGAAACCCGUUAAUUCCACGUAGGACGGAAUCGUCGUAAAGACCUCGUAAGGUAAAUAGACGUAAAUACCACGUAAAGUAAAUGACGAAGGAGGCACUCUUUAAUUCCACGUAGGAUGAAUUCGUCGUAAACACCUCGUAAAAAAAUCGUCGUAAAAACCUCGUAGACUAAAAACUAGAAAAAAAAGGAAAAGAAGAGAGAUACCAGAUUUACAUGUGCAAGACUUCCAACAAUUAUAAUACUUAAGUCUCGCCCACAUAAAUUCUAUAUCUUUUUCUCUUCUUUUUUUCCAAAUAUUUCUAAUUUGGUGAAAAGCGGGACUUGCUACUUCCUCAUAGUAUAAAACUAGUAAAAAAGAAAAGAAGAAAGAUUCUGGAAUUAUAUGUGGCGAGACUUAGUCUCGUCCACAUAAGUUCCAAAUCUUCUCUCUUCUUUUUUUUUUCAAAUAUUUCUAAUUUGAAAAGCAUUUUGGUGAGGUGUGUGAUUUGAGAUAGGGUGUGUUUUGUGAGUUUGUGUGUGGUUUGAGAAGGAAAGUUGUGGGUAUUUAUAGAAAAUAUAAGCUCGCUAAUUCCUCGUAACAAGUUAACUCGUUAAUUUCACGUAACAUAACUCGUCGUAAAAACGUCGUUAACGAAAACACGGGCCUUUGUAAUUCGUCGCUAUUUCCUCGUAUAAGAAAACGCGGGCCUCUGUAAUUCCUCGUAACUUUACGAGGAAAUGACGAGGACAAGUAAUCUUAUAUAUCCCGAGCGAGCUCGCUCUUUCUUCCUCUCCACUUCCUCCCUAUUUCGUAGCAAUGGUAAAUCUCUCUAAUUCCUCUCUAGUUUGAUUAGUUUAGGAUAGAUUAGGUGGUUAGUAUAAGGAAUUUAGAUAGGUUUACGGAUCUUAUGUUAUUUAGUGUUGAUUAGGUGGAUAAUGUUGGGAAGUAUAUUGUUCACGAAAAUUUAAAAAAUUAAUUUUUUUCUCAGGUUCGAAAAGGUAGACUUACUGCCCAUUACAGAGAGAUGUUCGGUGAGCCGGGUAGUCGUUUAGACCCGUCGUCUUCUUCAGCUCCCGGUUCUUCGGGUCAGGAGACUGUCCCCGAGACUCAGUACACUCAGAGAGUCUUUGGAUCUCCUUCUUCUAGUGCACCAUCGGUUCCUCACGUGCCUCCCCGAUGGCUCCUCCUCUUGUGCUCCUCUGAUGGCACCUCCGAUGCCCGCCGAGAUUCAUCCCGAUUUGAUGGUGCCUCCGAGUGCUCCUUACUCGCAGUACACCGUAGAGGACAUUUCCGUCUGCCAGGCAGAGAAGGUUUACCAGUCAUCGACCCCGACCGACCGGACGGAACUUUGUGGUAUGUUUCAUUAUUUUUUUAUUCUUUUUAAAUUCUUUUAUAACUUUAAAAAUAAUUUAUAUUUUAAAUUUGUAUUUUCCAGGUGGGGGAUUGACGGAUGUCUUGCAUCGGACGUAACCGACACGAUAAAAUGUUACUUCUCCAUGGCACAUCCGAACUGGAAAAAUGACGCCUCACUACGUCAGAAAGACGUGGUUCAAAAUUUACGCUGUAAGUUUCUAUUAAUUAAUUAUAUAUCUUUAAAUUUUUUCAUUAUUUAUAUAUUUUCUGAAAAACUAAUUAUAAAUUAUUUUUUCCAACAGCAAAAAUAUAAUUGGCCUUGGGGAUCACUGAGAGGGUGAGGAAGAAGUUUAUCGCGAAGGCGAAAGUUCGCUUGUUGGACACGGUCUCCAACUGGAAGGGUGACUGGAUCGUGAAGGGGUAUGAGCGUGGCAAACCCGCUGAGCUCACCACGGAUGUCUGGGAUGGCCUCAUCCGAUAUUGGCGUCUUCCUGAUUCCAUUAGAAUCGCCCAGUCUUGCUCUAACUCCCGUAACACAGUCGAUGAGCACGGGAACGGGCCGAUGCUUCACACUACGGGCCAAAAACCCCACGCCGGUGUCCGUUUGGAAAUGGUAAUUAAAUAUUUAAUUAUAUUAAUUUUUAGUAUAUUUUUAUAUAUAUUCUAACAACUUUCUUAAAUGUUUUUUAGGCCAAAGAGACGGGAGAAUUCUCCGUCUCUUAUGCAACUUUACGAGAGGACCCACAAGAACAAGGCGGGCCGAUUUAUAGAUGGCAAGUCCGAGCAAAUCUACAACGAUUUGGCUGCUCGGGUUGAAGAACGCCAGACCCAGCUGACCAGCAGUCCACCGAUGGAUUACCCGUCACUUAUCCACACCUGAAGUGGAUAAGCUUUACGAGGAGGUAAAUUUUCUAAAAUUUUAAUUUUUUAAUUAUUCAUUUAAUUUAACUUUAAAUUUUUACUAACAAAAUUUAUUUUUUGUUUUUAAGGUUGUCCCUAAAAAAAAGGGACGGACGUUGGGGAUUGGUUCCGUCAACGAUGUUCCGAGAGCAACAUCGUCUUAUGUUCAGCGACGGGAUGAUGAAGUCUCUCAGCUGCGUAGGGAGUCCGAAGAGCUGCGUAGAGAGUCUACUGAGCUGCGUCACGAGUUGAGCUCGACGCGAUCUGCGUUCACAGCUCGUGUGGGUGGACUCGAGGGCUUCUUGGACGUUGUAGCGGCCACAAAUCCGGAAUGGGAGACUUUGUUGAGGACCAUGCGACAACAAAAUCCUAUCCCAGGCGAGUCACCAACCGACGACUCACAUGCCGAGGCGGAUGUAAUGGCGAGGAGUGAUGAAUUCUACCAGGCGAUUAACCACCCUUAGUUCUUUUUAAUUUCGGUUCUUGUAUUAUGAAUUCAAAACUUAUUUAUAUAUAAAAUAUUUUGGUUUGAUUUUUUUAGAAUUUUAAUUUUAUUAAUAAUUUAAUAAUUAAAAUAUUUUUUUUAAUUAUAAUUUUUUAUAUUUCUGUAAAAUAACGAAACGAAGUAAAUUCGUAGCUAAUUUUGCGGCUUCUUUACGUGGAAGCUUAACGUGGAAAGCUUUUCAAGGUAUUUACGUUGCUUUACGAGGAAAGCUAUCAAGGUAUUUACGUUUACUUUACGAGGAAAGCUAUCAAGGUAUUUACGUUUACUUUACGAGUAUUUAUUUACGUGGGUUUUACGAGGAAAGUCUUUCGUGGUAUUUACGAGGAAACUUAGCGACGUCCUUACGUGGAAGUUUACGUGGUCUUUACGACGAAAUAUUCUCUUCGCUUUUACGACGAAUUAUUUCCUCGCUAAUUACGACGAAUUAGCGAGGAUAUAUGCGUUACGACAAACGUAUAACGACGAAACGGGUUUCCUCGCUAUUUCUCGUAACACUGCUUUUACGACGAAGUCACGAGGAAAACUACCCUCGUAAAACUUGUGUUUUCUUGUAGUGUUCGCCACAUUAAUUCUCCGGACAGUUUCUUGUUCUCAGCUCGAGCUGACUCAAGCUCCCUGCCUCAGCUCCCUGAUUGUGAUCUUCCCGCUUCAACUCCUCUCUACUCGGAUGAUCCAGAAGGUGNNNNNNNNNNNNNNNNNNNNNNNNNNNNNNNNNNNNNNNNNNNNNNNNNNNNNNNNNNNNNNNNNNNNNNNNNNNNNNNNNNNNNNNNNNNNNNNNNNNNUUUGAUCAUCUUCGUCUUUGGAAGCUCUAAUGAAAAAACUUUAAAUGGAUAUUUGAGAGAAUUGUCCAAUUAUCAAAGUAUAUACAGAAUUUAUAUUAUUUUUUACAUUUGUCUUUACAGAUUUAGUGCUUAUGGCUUAGUAUUUAAGGAUGAAAUUAAAUUUGAAAUUUAUGAUAAAUUAGAAUUUGUUUUUUUUGUUUAUUGAAUACCUUUUGAAAUUUUGUUUUUAGGCUGUUUUGUGAUACUAUUUUAUGUUAUUUAUAAGAUUUUUCCAAAUUACUUUUGAAAGAGACUUUCUAACACUGGUGACACCACAUUACAUCAUCAUAUAAUCUCUAACUUAAUUACAUAUGAUGAUUACCUGCAUCAUAUGCGAUAUGAUAAAAAAGCUCCACAGAUAAUAAUUUUACGAUGAAGUUCUCCCUAAAUUAUUGCAUGUAUGACAUACUUGACGGAUAGACUCUCUCUCACAACAUACGACCACAAUGAACGACUCUGCGUGCAGUACUCUGGAACUUUCGAUAAUCUUGGCAUCAUAUAAUCUGAAAGAAUUCACAUGGUCUAGAUUCGAACCUCUUACAUGGGUGUAAAAACUUUUAGACCUUAACCAUCAAGCAAUUAAAUUGUGUGAGAUGAAACCUUCUAAAUGUGACGUCUAAUAUGAUGUAAUUUAUGAUAAAAGUUAUACGGUAAAACUAAUAGAUUUAUUUAGUAAAUCUGUGGUAUAAAAUUUUCAAAAUAAAAGUUUCAAAAUAGUUUCAAAAAGCAUUUUCGAAUUUAAAAAAAAAUAGUUUGAAAACAAAACUUUAAACUUAAAAUUAAAUUAUAAAAACUUAGAAUUUGAAAACAUAUAAUUCAAAAACUAUGUAAAAAUAUUUUUUAUUGUUUUAUUAUUUAUUUAAAUAAUUACUAUAUUUAUAUAUAAAUCAAGGUAUAAGAGUUUUUUGUCUCGUUAAUGAAACAUCUUUUGAUUAUUUUCUUCCUUGGAAUCUCUUCUAGUAAAACUUUAAAAGGCUAUUUGAGAGAAUUUCCCAAUUAUCAAAUUAUAUAAAUAAUUUAUGUAAAAUAUAUAAAUGGAACUAAAGUUAUAAUUUUAUGAUAAUUAGUUUUUUUUGUUUAUUGAAUACUAUUGUGAAUUUUUUUUGUAGGCUGUUUUCUGAUAAUUAUUUUAUGUUAUUUUAUAGAUUUUUCCAAAUUUGUUUUGAAAGAGAAUCUUUUUAACACUCGUAACACACAUUACAUCAUCAUCAUCUAUCUCUACGAACUACUCAUGAAUUGAAUUUAUGCACAUAAGAAAGCAAGACCAAAACGAGGAGCACUCCCAUCGAUCUCUCGAGUAGCCAGAAAGGAUCAAAGAAACCAAAGUUUAAGGAAAUUUGCAAUUUCUACCGAAUAAAGCCAAUAGUAACAAAAAAAAUGAUUCCAGUCUUUACUAGAGCCGUUUACAGUCAACAAACGCGAUCUAUUGUUAAAUUUGGGGGCUUGCAAGGCUUUCAGACACAGUCAAUCCCGCUCUACGCGAAAAAGCAUCGACAAAAGCUUAUUAAAGAUAAUGUCGAUCCUUAAUGAGAUAGUAUCAACUAGAUUAAUCCGAGACCUCAUAAUAUGAACAAAGUGUCUAGCAACAAAAGUAAACCAAGGCAAAAUUAAAGUACUUGAGUUCAUAACAGAAACAAUAUAGUACUCCGAAAUCAUCCUGACAAAAAAAAAAACUGUCAAAACUAGGAAACAACAAGAUCCGGUCCGGAAACGACGAACAAAAGAAACAAAAGAGGCCUUAUAAGCGAGACUAGCUUCGUCACCAACCAGGCAACCAUAGACUGAGGGAUGGGACUUUGAGUCACAGAAUCCUCAGAGACAUGCAGAAGGUCGAGACGGAAGGGACCAGUCCGAUACAUCAGCAAGUUCGACCAGAGCUUCGUAGUCCAUGCCCAUCUCCUUCAAGCGCACAAGCUCGCCGUUCGGCUCAAGCCCUCCAUCUUUGAACUCUUCCAACAGCUCGAUGUUCGCAACGACCUCGUGAAUAUGAAACUCCUCCGGCAUGCUCUCCUUCUUUUACUUCUCCCACUUCCGUAAUUUUCAGGAAGAGUGCGGCAAGCAGUCCAAGACGCCUUGUGAAUGUCCCGAUCACGACUAGCUUCAAAUCCGCAUUACUCGCUGCAAGGGCAGCCAUCUCCUGUGCCGCGUUACCACCCUCAAAUCUGGCUCUCUCAAUCCUAAUUCCACUACAAGAAAACGUAAGCUUAACGAGGAAAUUUAACGAGGAAAAAUAUUCCUCGUAAAAGUAGUUGAUUUUGCGAGGAAAGUACGUGGAAAAAGAAAAGCAUCGUUAUUUCGUCGUAAGGUCACGACAAAACAUAUUCGUCGUAAAGACAAUGUAAAUUGACGUGGCUUUUACGAGGAAACAAUAUUUCCUCGUAAAUACGACCUAAAUUUCGCGAGUUCUUUACGACGAAAUAUUUUACGUGUACUUAACGAGGAAAUUUUGAUUCCACCAACUUGGUAGGUGGCUCACGUUUUUUUUUGGCCAUCCAAUUAAUUUUCGUCGUAAUUUCAUAGUAAAAUUACAACUACCAGAUUCGAAAUUUCCUAUAAAUAUGGAUGUUUGAACAUCAUUUUAAACACACCAACAACAAAAAACGUGAAAGAAAAAAAAAUGGCUGGCUCUGGGACUAUUUACGAGUUGCGGAAUUGGAUGUAUAUGCAUAUAGAUGCUAACGGGAGAGUGACGAAAGAAUACCUUGCGGGGCUGGAGACAUUUAUGCACCAAGCAGAUUCAACACCGCUCGCCCAAGAAAGUGGUAAGAUGUUCUGUCCUUGUCGGAAAUGCAACAAUUCGAAAUUGGCAAACCGUGAAAAUGUUUGGAAGCAUUUAAUAAAUAGAGGUUUCACGCCAAAUUACUAUAUCUGGUUUCAACAUGGGGAAGGUUUUAAUUAUGAUCAGAAUGAAGCUAGUAGUAGUAAUAGCAAUUUUCCGGAAGAACCGGUUAAUCAUCAUUUGCAUAAUGAACAUAGUUACCAUCAGGAGGAGAUGGUAGAUUAUGAUAGGGUUCAUGAUAUGGUAGCUGAUGCAUUCGUAGCUUAUGAUGAAGAUGAAGAACCUAAUAUAGAUGCAAAAAAGUUUUACGGAAUGUUAAACGCGGCGAAUCAACCACUUUACAAGGGUUGUAGAGAAUGUCUCUCUAAAUUGUCGUUGGCUGCUAGAAUGAUGAAUAUUAAAACUGAUCACAAUCUACCUGAAAGUUGCAUGAACGAAUGGGCGGACUUGUUUAAAGAGUAUUUGCCGGAAGACAAUGUGUCUGCUGAUUUUUAUUAUGAGAUUCAGAAAUUGGUUUAUAGUCUUGGGUUGCCUUCGGAGAUGAUAGAUGUCUGCAUCGACAACUGCAUGAUCUAUUGGGGAGAUGAUGAGAAGCUAGAAGAAUGUCGAUUCUGCAAGAAGCCACGAUUCAAGCCGCAAGGACGGGGACGUAAUAGGGUACCGUACCAAAGGAUGUGGUACCUACCAAUUACAGACAGAUUGAAAAGAUUGUAUCAAUCAGAGCAGACUGCUGAAAGAUGAGAUGGCAUGCCGAGCAUACUCAGACGGAUGGUGAGAUGACUCAUCCAUCAGAUGCAAGAGCCUGGAAACAUUUCAACAAAGUACAUCCGGAUUUUGCUAGCAAUAGCCGGAAUGUGUAUCUCGGAUUAUGCACAGAUGGAUUUAGUCCGUUCGGAAUGUCAGGGAGACAAUAUUCAUUGUGGCCAGUCUUUCUUACGCCAUACAACCUGCCACCGGACAUGUGCAUGCAACGGGAGUUGCUAUUCUUGACCAUAUUGAUACCUGGUCCGAACCAUCCAAAAAGGUCCCUGGAUGUUUUCCUACAACCACUGAUAAAAGAGUUGAAGGAUUUGUGGUCAACAGGGGUGAGGAGGUACGACUGUUCAACGAAGACGAAUUUUACAAUGCGAGCUAUGCUUUUGUGGACCAUAAGUGACUUUCCUGCCUAUGGGAUGUUGUCUGGAUGGACUACACAUGGGAGAUUAGCUUGUCCAUAUUGUAAUGGAACGACAGAUGCGUUUCAACUGAAGAAUGGUAGGAAGACAAGUUGGUUUGAUUGUCAUCGUCGAUUUCUUCCCAUUGGCCAUCCUUACCGAAGAAACAAGAAUUUGUUUAGGCACAAAAGGGUUGUGAGAGACACUCCUCCGCCAUAUCUAACUGGAGAACAAAUUGAAGCACAAAUCGACUACUACGGAGCUAACGAAACAGUUCGUUGGGGUGGUAAUUGGCAUGUCCCUCGUAAUAUGCCUGAUUCUUACGGUGUUCAUCACAACUGGCACAAGAAGAGUAUAUUUUGGGAGUUGCCAUAUUGGAAGGAUCUUCUUCUGCGCCACAACCUCGAUGUGAUGCAUAUAGAGAAGAAUUUCUUUGAGAACAUCAUGAAUACAAUAUUGAAUGUCCCAGGGAAGACAAAAGACAACAUAAAAUCGAGGUUGGACUUGCCGGAUAUUUGCUCAAGAAGCGAGUUACAUAUUAAAAGCAAUGGACAAGUUUCCGUUCCGAUAUUCAGACUGUCUUCAGAAAAAAAGUCGGUGUUGUUCAACUGGGUGGCAUCAGAAGUGAAGUUCCCCGAUGGGUAUGUUUCAAAUCUCUCUAGAUGUGUUGAAAAGGGUCAAAAGUUCUCCGGGAUGAAGAGUCAUGAUUGUCAUGUCUUUAUGCAACGACUACUGCCCUUUGCAUUUGCGGAGCUACUUCCAACAAACGUACAUGAAGCACUUGCAGGUUCGUAGUGUAUUAUAUCACAAUAAUUUUAUAACGGUCUAGUUUGCAAAAUAAUAUAUGACUAACAAUGUGUUUAAUUGUUUUUGGAAUAUAAAAGGCAUUGGAGCAUUUUUCAGGGAUCUGAGCACACGCACUCUUAAAGAAGAAGUUAUGGAACAGCUUCAGGAGAACAUUCCCAUCUUAUUGUGCAACUUGGAGAAGAUAUUUCCUCCUGGAUUUUUUGACGUCAUGGAGCAUCUAGCUGUCCACCUCCCAUAUGAAGCAUUGCUUCGUGGACCUGUACAUUACGGAUGGAUGUAUCAGUAUGAGCGAGCCAUGAAAUAUUUGAAGGGAAAAGCAAAGAACCUUGCCAAAGUUGAAGGUUCUAUAAUUGCUGGAAGUUUGACGGAAGAAGUUUCUCACUUCACAUCGUACUACUUUGCGUCAAAAGUACGUACCCGGAGAAGAGCUCCAAGAAGAUAUGAUGAUGGUGGGGUUGCGCCAACAUAUGCAGUUGCUGGUGUUCCAGACAUCUUUAGCCAGAUUGGACGACUCGGUGGGAAGUCUAAAGAGGUUUGGUGGUCGAGUGAACACGACGCUCAUAGUGCACACACCUAUAUUCUACUCAAUUGCGAGGAUCCAUUGAUGCGUUAUUUUGAAAGGUAACAUAAAUGGACACUUCAAAACACAUAUAAUUAAUUAUAUAAUUGCAAGAGAUUCAUUCCUAUGAAACGUGAUUAAUUUUACAGCCUAUUUGUUUCUCAAGUCGAAGAAACAUUUCCUGAUAUAUCCACAAGUGACGUAGACAAAAGGAAAGAUCAGCACUUCAUUAAGUGGUUGCGGAAUCAGGUAUUAUAACUCAAAUUAUUUUUUCAUACAUGAUUUGUAUUUUAAUGUUCUCUUUAUUUUUGGAGGUUGAUUAUGACGACGAUGCAGAUUAUCCUAAGUGGUUACACGAAGUAAUUCAAUCUCCACCUGUAAAGGUCACCACAUCACAGAUGUAUUUCACACGAGGCUAUACUUUUCACACAUAUGAGUAUGGUAGACAGCGGGCGACCAGUAACUAUGGAAUAUGUGUGAAAGGGGAAACAGAUUUCUACGGGAUCUUGACGGAGAUUAUUGAAGUCGACUUUCCAGGGAUACUGAAGCUGAAAUGCGUCCUCUUCAAAUGUGAAUGGUUCGACCCCGUCGUCAACAGAGGUGUUCGGUCUAAUAAAUUUGGUGUAGUUGAUGUCAACGGUGGACGACGGUACAACAAAUUCGAACCUUUCAUCUUAGCUUCACAAGCAGACCAAGUUAGCUUCCUUCCAUACCCUUAGAUGAGAGAUUCAGGUAUAAAUUGGUUAGCAGUGAUCAAAGUUACACCUCGAGGACGAAUCAUCAAUGGAGAAGAACCACCAUUGCAAGAAGAACAGAUAAAUGAAGACGAGGAACCUGAACAAGAAAUUGAUGACAUCCUUCUCAUUGAUCCGCAUAAUCACGAAUGCGAAGAUCUUACCGAUGAUGCCACAGAUGAAGCUGUAGAAGACGAGUUUAAUGAAAAUGAUGAUAUUUCUAGUGAUGACGAGAAUGUCGUUGUAUCCGAUUGAUGUAUUUGAUUUUGUGUAGUUUGUUUUAUGAAUAAGGUAAUGUGAGAGUUUGUUUUAUGAAUAAGGUAAUGUUGGAGUUUGUUUUAUGAAUAAGAAAAUGUGGGAGUUUGUUUUAUAAAUAAGUAAAUGUGGGAAUUGUGGUUUGGAAUGGAAAUAAAGAUGGGG